GGCCCCCAAACUCCUUUAAUUUCCCCUUUUCUACUAGACCAGGCGUACCAGGCCAAAAUAAAUGCUUUCCCUACCAACAACAUCUGCCUACUAAGCAGCCCCGACCCUCUGCUGUGAAGACCUAACAAUAAGGCACCACUGCCCACUGCCCAUUGGGCAGCCCAGGCAUCCAAACCGUUUCCAUGCCCUCUUUUCUACUAAGCCAGACUUACCACCCCAAAGUAAAUGAGCUUUCCCUACCGCCAACAUCUGCCCACUGAGCAGCCCUGACCCUCUGCUGUGAAGAACUAACAAUGGGGCACCACUGCCCACUGCUCAUCGACCAGCCCAGGCACCCUAACUGUUUCAUUGCCCUCUUUUCUACUAAGCCAGGCUUACCACCCCAAAGUAAAUGACCUUCUCCUGCCCCCAAUAACUGCCUACUGAGCGGCCCUGGUGCCCUGCUGCUAAGACUAACAUGUAGCUCUGUCCCACUUCUACUAAGACCGCACAUUGAGCUGCGUUGACCCCUGCCCAUUGGGCAAACAAGGCCGCCAAACCCCCUUAAUUUCCUCUUUUCUACUAGACCAGGCUUACUACCCCAAAGUCAGUGAGCUCCUCCUGCCCCCAAUUAUCUGCACACUGAGCAGCCCUAGCCCUAUACCAUUAAGAUGUGGGCAGUGGGCAGCCAAGGCCCCUUAAUCACCUCCAUUUCCCCCUUCUCUACUAGGCCAGGCCACCUCCAAAAAUUGAGGGAGCUUCCCCUGCCCCCAAUAUCUACGCACUGAGCGACCCUGACCCUCUGCUGUGAAGACCUAACAAUGAGGCACCACUACCCACUGCCCAUUGGGCAGCCCAGGCACCCUAACAGUUUCCAUGCCUUCUUAUCUACUAGGCCAGGCUUACCACCCCAAAGCCAGGCUUACCACCCCAACGUGAGUGAGCUGCUCCUGCCCCCAACAUCUGCCCACUGAACAGCCCUGACCCCCUGCUCUGAAGACAUAACAAUGAGCUGGCCUCGCCCCUGGUGACACUGAGGUUACCUUGCCCACUGCCCAUUGUGCCUAACCGUUUCCAUGCCCUCUUUUCUACUAGGCCAGGCUUACCACCCCAAAGCCAGGCUUACCACCCCAACGUGAGUGAGCUGCUCCUGCCCCCAACAUCUGCCCACUGAACAGCCCUGACCCCCUGCUCUGAAGACAUAACAAUGAGCUGGCCUCGCCCCUGGUGACACUGAGGUUACCUUGCCCACUGCCCAUUAUGCCUAACCGUUUCCAUGCCUCCUUUUCUACUAGGCCAGGCUUACCACCCCAAAGCCAGGCUUACCACCCCAACGUGAGUGAGCUGCUCCUGCCCCCAACAUCUGCCCACUGAACAGCCCUGACCGUCUGCUGUGAAGACCUAACAAUGAGGCACCACUCCCCACUGCCCAUUGGGCAGCCCAGGCAUCCAAACCGUUUCCAUGCCCUCUUUUCUACUAGGCCAGGCUUACCACCCCAAAGCCAGGCUUACCACCCCAACGUGAGUGAGCUGCUCCUGCCCCCAACAUCUGCCCACUGAACAGCCCUGACCGUCUGCUGUGAAGACAUAACAAUGAAACACCACUGCCCACUGCCCAUUGGGCAGCCCAGGCAUCCAAA
Molecule: long non-coding RNA, 1619 nt
Organism: Sarcophilus harrisii (Tasmanian devil)
Lineage: Eukaryota; Metazoa; Chordata; Mammalia; Dasyuromorphia; Dasyuridae
Exons: 5
Source: RefSeq, a predicted model, not a curated record